Molecule: long non-coding RNA, 3682 nt
Filed under: Dasypus novemcinctus (nine-banded armadillo)
Lineage: Eukaryota; Metazoa; Chordata; Mammalia; Cingulata; Dasypodidae
Description: lncRNA (ENSDNOG00000050779.1)
Source: RNAcentral
GUUAGGAUUUUAAUGGGAUGACAGGCAGUAGUUUUUAAUAUCAGGGACCAGUGUUUUUUUUUAUGGAAAAAACAAAAUCUUUCAGCAGUACAAUUCCAGAGCUCAAUUAUGGAUGAGUGUGGAACACAAUCUGAACUAGAGUUCUUCCAUGAAUGCUGAAGGCCUAAGAAGAUAUUUUAGCAAGAUAAUAUAUUGGAGUGGGUCUUUGCCAAAUUUGCUAAAGUCACUGGAAGAAGUUAUUACUGCUACUAGAACUCAAAUUGUUCUGAUAAAAGAUCUUCCAACUGUCAUCUGUCGUGGGCUCACGUCGUGAGUACAUUUGAAGAACUGUAGCUAGAGAUGAAGAGCCUCCCAAAUGUCUUCCCAGUUCUCCCUGAAGUCACGGGAAUGGUGCCUGUAUGAUCUUCACCUACUUACUUGAGCUGCAGAGAGCUCCAGGCACAGGUUUUAAAGAGAAUUAAGGUGCUGUCCAAUUGCGAUCUCAUUGCAUCACAGCAGCCGCCUCCACUUUCAUAAAUGAGGAAACUGAGACUCAAAAUGGUUACAUUAUCUUCCUCACGCCAAAUUGGAGAAUGCUGGUCAUUUUGACUGCAAAUCUCUCAUUCCAUCUCCCAUCUCCCAGCUAUCUGGCGUCCUGUCCCAUACAAAGCUGAGUCAUAAUAUGUCCCAACAGUUUUGGACCUAUUUCAGUAAGCUCCUUCUUGAGAGAUGUUAAAAUAUUAUUUAAAAAGUGGCAGGUCUCUGUUCUUUAAGACUUAGGAAACUCAUCCAUGAAAAUAAACCUUCUUUGAGACCUCAAAAAAAAAACUGUUCUGAUAAGAAUUAGAAAAGAAUUGAACAUCUGUCAACCCUUAAAUAACUACUGAUAUCCCCUAAUAGAAAUGCAUACUAUAGCAUUUUCUAGGUUUAAGAAUUCAGUGAUAGUACUUGUUGUUGAAUUUUUUUUGACAGUGGUUUUGCGUAAUCCUAUCCAUUCACAGUUGCCUUGCUGAGUUCCAGCUUUGAAACCUGGAACAUUGAAAGAAGCAAAAUACCUCUAUAGAAACCACAGAGUUCUCUUUUGAAAUAUAAACAGUUGCAUCUACUCCAGUUUUCUGUGAGCUUUAAAGCAACCUCUCGACAAUGAUUAGUGUGUCAGUUCCGUCACUGGAAUCAGAUGUUUCUGUUUGCCUUUUGCUUUCUUAUUUUUGCAAUCUUGAAAUAAGUUUAAUAAGUCAUCUCAUAAUCUGUCAUAUUAUCUAUUUAAACUUUUUGUUAUGACAGUAUAAAAUUUUUAAGACAUUGACAGAGCUUGUUGAUUCUUUUUCUUAUAAUAAAGAAAUUAAUGUUAUAAUUGGUUUUUAUUAGACACGAAUUUAAGCUGCCCUUCCUUCCUCCCCUUUCCCAGCCUAAACAAUUCUCUUAUAAAAGUCUGUUUGAAAAGUUACCAGUUUAACAGCUUUUCACAAAAGCUUUUCAAGAUCAAAAAAAGUCAUAGUCUUAGAAAAUCUUUUAGAAAUAUUUUUUCUGACCACUGUUGUUAAUCUUCCACAAAUUAUUUUCUGUUAAUAUUCACAUUUAGUAACCAUUUUUAUAGCAACUUAAUAUGGUAUAAUGGCUUGGAUAGUAUGAGUGUAGUGGUAAAAAUUGUAGGCAGUAUGUUAACAUCAGCAAGCAUUUUAUUGCCUAUCAUAUAUAAUCAUGGGAUCUUUUACACAGAUUUUUAGUUAAUGUUGUUUGGUAUGCCUGCCCAAGUAAUAUAUUCUGUUAUAUUUGAAUACUGAUUUGUUCGACUUAAAAAUACAUAAUCACUAUGCUCACAAACUUUUCCUACUGGUAAAGACUUUAUAGCUAAACAUGUGUCUAUUAAGGCACAAUUAUUUAUCUAACAGUUUUUUCAAACUUCUAGUAACUUAGAAAUCAUUUUAUUGACUGCUUUUUAGAUAUAUAAGUUCUUAUAAAAACUGGUUAUCAUCAUCAUCUCUCUCCUUUUAAGUAGCAUUUAAUCAAUCCUCUUUUAUAGGUAAUUUUAUAUAACUAUCACAAUUUCAAGGAUGCUGUGAAGGAAACAUAAUAGAUUGAGUUUUUAAUUGUCCACUCUCAAGUUGAUUGUAAAAGAGAAGUUAGUGCUUCCAGCUUUGAGUAAACAUUUUAUUUUUGGCUAUUUUGAAAUAUACAGUUUUUUUACAUUUAUAGGUUUGCUAUUUUACAAUUUGACAUAAAUAGAACUUAAUUGAUCGCUUUAACAAUCUCAUUGUUCAAUGACAACAAAUCAGACCCUUUUAAAAGUAAAAUGGAAUCUGAUUUUUUUUAAAAAAAUUAUAAUGCUUCUGAGUAAAAGCUAUUUGAAAGGUCUUUGAAGUACUCAACACUAAAUAAAAGGACUUUUUAAUUGGGAAAAAAAAGGUGACAGAAAAUGAAACUUCAUGAAGCAAUAGUGAUUACUUCUUUAAUACCAACAAAAAGUGGAAAAUAAUUUUUAUAAAUAAGCAGAAUGAUUAAAUACUCCAUUUGUAGAGGAAUCCUGAAAUACUCAAAUAAAGCAAUACAACAUGAUAGUGGAUUUUUCAAGCAUUUAUUUCCCCAAAAUAUUUGCUAAAUACAUUAAUCCUUUGGCUUCACUAGUUUUACAUCUAGCCAAGAUAUUUUCUACACCUUAAGCAAUAUAGAUUAUUUUGUUAUUAUAUCCCUGAUAUAUAUGGCUUGGCUUUAUUUUUAAUAUUCUUUGUUUAAUAUUAUUUUUCUUAUAAUAGAAAACAAGAAGACCAAUGGUAGGUUAUAUUUAUUUAACUUCAUUUACAUAAGUUACUUAUAGGCAUGCCACAAACAAUGGCAUUGAUGUUUACUGAAUAUAAUAAACAUGAAAUCUAGGAUUUCUGAACCCUCGUCUCCUCUGAUUUUCCUUUUUUUUUUUUUCCUGAUAUAAACAUAGUCCCCUUUUUUCUUUUUUUCUUUUUCUUUUUAUUAGAGCAGUUAUAGGUUUACAGAAAAAUCUUGCAGAAAGUACAGUGUUAUCCUGGUCUUUUCUUAAUUCACUGAGACACAUUCCCAUUUUAAAAUAUUGGCCUACAUCUUUAGAAAUUAUGAAUAAAUGUUAAAGUCAUAAAUAUUAAGAAUAGUUACCUAGACUUUAAUGUCUAGAUAUUCUUAUAAUUUUAUACAAAUUUCACUUUAAUAUGUACUUGAAAGCUUUUACCACAAAAGAAAAAAUAGAAGUUUUCAAACCAUGUAUAUGAUUUUUAAUACCUAUUCCAGUGUGCAAAUGAAUUGAUUGUCCUGUGUUGCCCCUACAAUGCUUCUAUAUUUAUAAAAUCUAUUUAUAUAAAUCUUAUCUCUCUUUAUAACUUGUUUCAUUGCCUAUGGCUUUAGUCUGUGUUCCUCACACCAAAUUUCUGUGAAUUUAUAACUUGCUGCUAAAGCAAUUGUACAUAGUUGAGAUUUUGAAGGAAAAAAAAAGUCUUGUAUUUUGCUGCCCUCUUGUGGACCACCCUGCAUAUACUACCUGCAAUUAAAGACCUCAUUUUGCUACAUUCUUCAUAAGAAUUAGUGAAAAUAAUCUGCUUUAAAAAAAAGAAAAAAGAAGAAAAAAAGAAAGCCACAGACUUAAAUAUUCAGUUUUUUAUAGCAUUAUUAUGCUACCAGUUGGCUUAUGUCCAUUUAGUUCUGUAAGAAGAAUUAAAACUUUGGUUACUUUACUGCAGGU